UGGGGGAUAUUGCACAAUGGGGGAAACCCUGAUGCAGCGACGCCGCGUGAAGGAAGACGUACUUCGGUAUGUAAACUUCUAUCAGCAGGGAAGAAAAUGACGGUACCUGACUAAGAAGCCCCGGCUAACUACGUGCCAGCAGCCGCGGUAAUACGUAGGGGGCAAGCGUUAUCCGGAUUUACUGGGUGUAAAGGGAGCGUAGACGGCAUAGCAAGUCUGAUGUGAAAACCCGGGGCUCAACCGCGGGAUUGCAUUGGAAACUGUUGAGCUUGAGUACUGGAGGGGCAGGCGGAAUUCCUGGUGUAGCGGUGAAAUGCGUAGAUAUCAGGAGGAACACCGGUGGCGAAGGCGGCCUGCUGGACAGUAACUGACGUUGAGGCUCGAAAGCGUGGGGAGCAAACAGGAUUAGAUACCCUGGUA
RNAcentral lists this ribosomal RNA (420 nucleotides) under uncultured bacterium. RNAcentral's name for it is "bacterial SSU rRNA". It matches the Rfam family "Bacterial small subunit ribosomal RNA", at positions 355 to 792 of the family's 1533-position model. The record is from RNAcentral.